GACGAACGCUGGCGGCGUGCUUAACACAUGCAAGUCGAACGGAAAGGCCCUGCUUGUGUGGGGUGCUCGAGUGGCGAACGGGUGAGUAACACGUGAGUAACCUGCCCUUGACUUUGGGAUAACUUCAGGAAACUGGGGCUAAUACCGGAUAGGAGCUCCUGCUGCAUGGUGGGGGUUGGAAAGUUUCGGCGGUUGGGGAUGGACUCGCGGCUUAUCAGCUUGUUGGUGGGGUAGUGGCUUACCAAGGCUUUGACGGGUAGCCGGCCUGAGAGGGUGGCCGGCCACAUUGGGACUGAGAUACGGCCCAGACUCCUACGGGAGGCAGCAGUGGGGAAUAUUGCACAAUGGGCGGAAGCCUGAUGCAGCAACGCCGCGUGCGGGAUGACGGCCUUCGGGUUGUAAACCGCUUUCGCCUGUGACGAAGCGUGAGUGACGGUAAUGGGUAAAGAAGCACCGGCUAACUACGUG
Molecule: ribosomal RNA, 468 nt
Filed under: uncultured bacterium
Lineage: Bacteria
Description: partial 16S ribosomal RNA
Rfam family: Bacterial small subunit ribosomal RNA
Source: RNAcentral